RNAcentral lists this ribosomal RNA (2772 nucleotides) under Escherichia coli. Its description in RNAcentral is "bacterial LSU rRNA". It matches the Rfam family "Bacterial large subunit ribosomal RNA". The record is from RNAcentral. Lineage: Bacteria; Pseudomonadati; Pseudomonadota; Gammaproteobacteria; Enterobacterales; Enterobacteriaceae.
AGCGUACACGGUGGAUGCCCUGGCAGUCAGAGGCGAUGAAGGACGUGCUAAUCUGCGAUAAGCGUCGGUAAGGUGAUAUGAACCGUUAUAACCGGCGAUUUCCGAAUGGGGAAACCCAGUGUGAUUCGUCACACUAUCAUUAACUGAAUCCAUAGGUUAAUGAGGCGAACCGGGGGAACUGAAACAUCUAAGUACCCCGAGGAAAAGAAAUCAACCGAGAUUCCCCCAGUAGCGGCGAGCGAACGGGGAGGAGCCCAGAGCCUGAAUCAGUGUGUGUGUUAGUGGAAGCGUCUGGAAAGGCGCGCGAUACAGGGUGACAGCCCCGUACACAAAAAUGCACAUACUGUGAGCUCGAUGAGUAGGGCGGGACACGUGGUAUCCUGUCUGAAUAUGGGGGGACCAUCCUCCAAGGCUAAAUACUCCUGACUGACCGAUAGUGAACCAGUACCGUGAGGGAAAGGCGAAAAGAACCCCGGCGAGGGGAGUGAAAAAGAACCUGAAACCGUGUACGUACAAGCAGUGGGAGCCUCUUUUAUGGGGUGACUGCGUACCUUUUGUAUAAUGGGUCAGCGACUUAUAUUCUGUAGCAAGGUUAACCGAAUAGGGGAGCCGAAGGGAAACCGAGUCUUAACUGGGCGUUAAGUUGCAGGGUAUAGACCCGAAACCCGGUGAUCUAGCCAUGGGCAGGUUGAAGGUUGGGUAACACUAACUGGAGGACCGAACCGACUAAUGUUGAAAAAUUAGCGGAUGACUUGUGGCUGGGGGUGAAAGGCCAAUCAAACCGGGAGAUAGCUGGUUCUCCCCGAAAGCUAUUUAGGUAGCGCCUCGUGAAUUCAUCUCCGGGGGUAGAGCACUGUUUCGGCAAGGGGGUCAUCCCGACUUACCAACCCGAUGCAAACUGCGAAUACCGGAGAAUGUUAUCACGGGAGACACACGGCGGGUGCUAACGUCCGUCGUGAAGAGGGAAACAACCCAGACCGCCAGCUAAGGUCCCAAAGUCAUGGUUAAGUGGGAAACGAUGUGGGAAGGCCCAGACAGCCAGGAUGUUGGCUUAGAAGCAGCCAUCAUUUAAAGAAAGCGUAAUAGCUCACUGGUCGAGUCGGCCUGCGCGGAAGAUGUAACGGGGCUAAACCAUGCACCGAAGCUGCGGCAGCGACACUGUGUGUUGUUGGGUAGGGGAGCGUUCUGUAAGCCUGUGAAGGUGUGCUGUGAGGCAUGCUGGAGGUAUCAGAAGUGCGAAUGCUGACAUAAGUAACGAUAAAGCGGGUGAAAAGCCCGCUCGCCGGAAGACCAAGGGUUCCUGUCCAACGUUAAUCGGGGCAGGGUGAGUCGACCCCUAAGGCGAGGCCGAAAGGCGUAGUCGAUGGGAAACAGGUUAAUAUUCCUGUACUUGGUGUUACUGCGAAGGGGGGACGGAGAAGGCUAUGUUGGCCGGGCGACGGUUGUCCCGGUUUAAGCGUGUAGGCUGGUUUUCCAGGCAAAUCCGGAAAAUCAAGGCUGAGGCGUGAUGACGAGGCACUACGGUGCUGAAGCAACAAAUGCCCUGCUUCCAGGAAAAGCCUCUAAGCAUCAGGUAACAUCAAAUCGUACCCCAAACCGACACAGGUGGUCAGGUAGAGAAUACCAAGGCGCUUGAGAGAACUCGGGUGAAGGAACUAGGCAAAAUGGUGCCGUAACUUCGGGAGAAGGCACGCUGAUAUGUAGGUGAAGUCCCUCGCGGAUGGAGCUGAAAUCAGUCGAAGAUACCAGCUGGCUGCAACUGUUUAUUAAAAACACAGCACUGUGCAAACACGAAAGUGGACGUAUACGGUGUGACGCCUGCCCGGUGCCGGAAGGUUAAUUGAUGGGGUCAGCGCAAGCGAAGCUCUUGAUCGAAGCCCCGGUAAACGGCGGCCGUAACUAUAACGGUCCUAAGGUAGCGAAAUUCCUUGUCGGGUAAGUUCCGACCUGCACGAAUGGCGUAAUGAUGGCCAGGCUGUCUCCACCCGAGACUCAGUGAAAUUGAACUCGCUGUGAAGAUGCAGUGUACCCGCGGCAAGACGGAAAGACCCCGUGAACCUUUACUAUAGCUUGACACUGAACAUUGAGCCUUGAUGUGUAGGAUAGGUGGGAGGCUUUGAAGUGUGGACGCCAGUCUGCAUGGAGCCGACCUUGAAAUACCACCCUUUAAUGUUUGAUGUUCUAACGUGGACCCGUGAUCCGGGUUGCGGACAGUGUCUGGUGGGUAGUUUGACUGGGGCGGUCUCCUCCUAAAGAGUAACGGAGGAGCACGAAGGUUGGCUAAUCCUGGUCGGACAUCAGGAGGUUAGUGCAAUGGCAUAAGCCAGCUUGACUGCGAGCGUGACGGCGCGAGCAGGUGCGAAAGCAGGUCAUAGUGAUCCGGUGGUUCUGAAUGGAAGGGCCAUCGCUCAACGGAUAAAAGGUACUCCGGGGAUAACAGGCUGAUACCGCCCAAGAGUUCAUAUCGACGGCGGUGUUUGGCACCUCGAUGUCGGCUCAUCACAUCCUGGGGCUGAAGUAGGUCCCAAGGGUAUGGCUGUUCGCCAUUUAAAGUGGUACGCGAGCUGGGUUUAGAACGUCGUGAGACAGUUCGGUCCCUAUCUGCCGUGGGCGCUGGAGAACUGAGGGGGGCUGCUCCUAGUACGAGAGGACCGGAGUGGACGCAUCACUGGUGUUCGGGUUGUCAUGCCAAUGGCACUGCCCGGUAGCUAAAUGCGGAAGAGAUAAGUGCUGAAAGCAUCUAAGCACGAAACUUGCCCCGAGAUGAGUUCU